This 113-nucleotide non-coding RNA is filed under the name human gut metagenome. Its description in RNAcentral is "SAM riboswitch (S box leader)". It matches the Rfam family "SAM riboswitch aptamer (S box leader)". Rfam says of the family: The SAM riboswitch is found upstream of a number of genes which code for proteins involved in methionine or cysteine biosynthesis in Gram-positive bacteria. The SAM riboswitch acts at the level of transcription termination control. The record is from RNAcentral.
CCUUAUUAAGAGCGGCAGAGGGAAUAGGCCCAGUGAAGCCCGGCAACCUAGAUGUUUCUCGAAAACAGAAAAGGUGCUAAAUCCUACAGAAUAGUUUAUUCUGAAAGAUGAGG